RNAcentral lists this unclassified non-coding RNA (185 nucleotides) under uncultured Russula. RNAcentral's name for it is "sequence contains ITS1". Lineage: Eukaryota; Fungi; Basidiomycota; Agaricomycetes; Russulales; Russulaceae. The record is from RNAcentral.
CCGUACAACGGAGGUGCAAGGGCUGUCGCUGGCCUUCAAAGGUCGUGCACGCCCGGGCCCUCUCACAAUCCAUCUCACCCUUUGUGCAUCACCGCGUGGGUCCCCUUUGCGGGAGGGCUCACGUUUUAACAUAAAAACUCGAUACAGUGUAGAAUGUUUAUUUUUGCGGUCACACGCGAUCAAUA